UUUGGGAUCUUAGUUGCCAGACCAGGAAUUGAACCAGUGACCCCUGCAUUGCAAGGCAAAUUUUUACCUACUGGACCAGUAAGUCCCAAGCAGGGCAUCUCUUAGACCUGCAGUUCAAGGCUAGAGCAAAUGAGAUUCAGGGGGACUAGGACUAAAGAGAUCUCCAUCCUGCCAGGAGAUCGCAGGAGGAAACUGAGAGCUCGGAUGCCCCACAGCACUUAAAAGGCAAGACAGAAGUGAAGACAGAGUGGGUCUGCGUCCCACCUGGGCCACCAUCGCUGAGACUGGGGCCUAGAGGCUGGAACAGGAGCGAGGGCCUGGCAUCCACGCCACAUCAUUCAGGGGCCUUCCAGCACCAGCACCUGAUCCAGCCCAGCAGAGCGGCUCUCCCUGCUAUUUUGGAAGCAAUCAUAUAUUUUUAAUGACCUGCAAAAUCUCCCUGUGAGAAGGGAGGGAGAGUUGAAAUUACAGCCAAGCAAUUUGCAUUGCGAAUAAGUUAUCCUGCCUCCUGCUCUCCAAGAAUAUGCAGAAAUAAAUGCCUCCUAAUGAACCCUGGGGGGCUGAGGCUUUGAUAUGAAUUCUGCUGCAGGGGUAGAGAGUUC
This is a long non-coding RNA of Bubalus bubalis (water buffalo), 602 nucleotides long. RefSeq lists it as uncharacterized. The record is from RefSeq and is a predicted model, not a curated record. The transcript has 2 exons. Lineage: Eukaryota; Metazoa; Chordata; Mammalia; Artiodactyla; Bovidae.